Long non-coding RNA from Nicotiana attenuata, 851 nucleotides. RefSeq lists it as uncharacterized. The record is from RefSeq and is a predicted model, not a curated record. NCBI's taxonomy places the organism in Eukaryota, Viridiplantae, Streptophyta, Magnoliopsida, Solanales, Solanaceae. The transcript has 4 exons.
GGUCGCUUUUUUCCGGAUUUUUAGUAGUGUUUGUCAAAAUAUGUGGGAGGAAUCGACAUCAAGAUUGUUGAGAUAUAGCUAGCUGUAGGAGUCUGCUUCACUAGUAAGAACUUUAAGACAACCUCUCCACGGAUUGGAUUAUUUGUAAACAGCAAGCAAGAAUCAGUUGGUGGUGUUUUAGACAAGUAACUCGUUCACCAUCGCACUUAGUGAUAGCUGUAUUAAGGAAAGGAGCUGUUGAUCGACUAAGUGCUUCAAGCUAUUCUUUUUAUGUAAACAAUAUAUUUAGACUGUUGGAGAUUCUUUAUCUAACAUGGCAAAUAUUUUGGCCUUAGUUAGACUUUCUAAAGCUUUGGCAGAGGACAAAUCACUUACUUUGCUACAUAUUUCGAUACCCACUUGGUCAAGAAACAUAUUAAACAAAGGCAAGGUCAUGAAGGUGGAAUAUUUACAGUUGAAGCCCCGCUGCAUGUAUCCAAUGUUCAGGUUGUAGAUCCAGUCACAGGGAAACCAUCAAAGGUCGGAAUUAGAUACCAAGAGGAUGGCUCCAAAGUAAGAGUCUCAAGAGGUAUAGGAGCGUCAGCUGGUCCCAAGGAUACUCCAAUGGAGGUGGUCAUGGAGAGGACAUAUGAUCCAAAAACAGGAAAAGGCAUGCCAGAUCUCUGAGAAAAUUAUCUGUAUUUACACAUCUUAAUGUGAUGAAGGUGGUGCAGAUGCUUGUUACUUGCAUUACUUUUGUGAAAGCUGGCAUAAGAUGGUUAUUUGUUUCAGUAGAAUCUCAAUGUACACUGUUUCGCUUUAGACCAAGAGAAUUUGCUACUCUCAUUAAAAUCGAGUAUGCACCGAGACUU